This 406-nucleotide ribosomal RNA is filed under the name uncultured bacterium. Its description in RNAcentral is "partial 16S ribosomal RNA". It matches the Rfam family "Bacterial small subunit ribosomal RNA", at positions 30 to 526 of the family's 1533-position model. The record is from RNAcentral.
AUUGAACGCUGGCGGCAGGCCUAACACAUGCAAGUCGAACGAGUGGCGGACGGGUGCGUAAUGUCUGGGAAACUGCCCGAUGGAGGGGGAUAACUACUGUAACCGGUAGCUAAUACCGCAUACCAUCGGAUGUGCCCAGAUGGGAUUCGCUAGUCGGUGGGGUAAUGGCUCACCUAGGCGACGAUCCCUAGCUGGUCUGAGAGGAUGACCAGCCACACUGGAACUGAGACACGGUCCAGACUCCUACGGGAGGCAGCAGUAGGGAAUAUUGCACAAUGGGCGCAAGCCUGAUUCAGCCAUGCCGCGUGUAUGAAGAAGGCCUUCGGGUUGUAAAGUACUUUCAGCGAGGAGGCGUUACUCACAGAGGAAGCACCGGCUAACUCCGUGCCAGCCGCCGCGGUAAUAC